RNAcentral lists this non-coding RNA (153 nucleotides) under Vagococcus penaei. Its description in RNAcentral is "GlcN6P sequence". It matches the Rfam family "glmS glucosamine-6-phosphate activated ribozyme aptamer". From Rfam's summary of the family: This entry contains a glucosamine-6-phosphate activated ribozyme that is found in the mRNA for GlmS. The record is from Rfam by way of RNAcentral. Lineage: Bacteria; Bacillati; Bacillota; Bacilli; Lactobacillales; Enterococcaceae.
CAAUAAUGGAUAGCGCCAGACCUGUUUUAGUACAGGUGACGAGGAUAGGGCUUAUCGAGUAUUCGGCGGGUGGUCCUAAGGGUCUGCACUCUUAAAGAGCAUGGUAAAAAGUUAGUGGUGACACUAUAACAGAACAGUGACUCGAGCAGAUAG